RNAcentral lists this long non-coding RNA (200 nucleotides) under Daucus carota (carrot). RNAcentral's name for it is "long non-coding RNA (DCAR_LNC006183)". The record is from RNAcentral. Lineage: Eukaryota; Viridiplantae; Streptophyta; Magnoliopsida; Apiales; Apiaceae.
CCACCUGGGUCUUCCCCAGAACCCGGAUAACCCUCAGACAGACCAGGAUAACCCGAACCAGGAUCAUGCCUCAGGACCCCUUUUCACCCAUGUGAACCCGGAGGAGAAUCAAACCAUCAACCCCAAUGACGCCCGGGUCACUAUCGAAAUGAACCAAUACAAGUACACCGACGUACCAAUCACCACCCUCCACCUAUCAC